Molecule: ribosomal RNA, 253 nt
Filed under: uncultured bacterium
Lineage: Bacteria
Description: partial 16S ribosomal RNA
Rfam family: Bacterial small subunit ribosomal RNA
Source: RNAcentral
UACGGAGGGUGCGAGCGUUGUCCGGAAUCACUGGGCGUAAAGGGCGCGUAGGCGGCGCGGGCAGUCAACGGUGAAAGCUCGGAGCUCAACUCCGAGUCGGCCGUCGAUACUCCCGUGCUUGAGCACUGUAGAGGCAGGUGGAAUUCCGGGUGUAGCGGUGGAAUGCGUAGAGAUCCGGAAGAACACCGGUGGCGAAGGCGGUCUGCUGGGCAGUUGCUGACACUGAGGCGCGACAGCGUGGGGAGCAAACAGG